UGAUUAGAGAAGACUAGCUGUGUUAAGUAC
This 30-nucleotide non-coding RNA is filed under the name Rattus norvegicus (Norway rat). The record is from RNAcentral. Lineage: Eukaryota; Metazoa; Chordata; Mammalia; Rodentia; Muridae.